UCCUGCAGUAUGCUUAAAACUUUCUCACUUGUCCUCGUAGAGUGACCUUGUAGAAGUACGAUGCGCUGUUGUAAUGGCAGUAGCAACCUGCUUCGAAUAACCUUUAGCCGUUAAGGAUUGAUGUAGAUGCGCCAAACAUGCAGAUGGAGCGUCAACAGGGACCAAUGUAGUUGGUGGGAGUGCGGAUGAACCAGUAGAUCGGGUCUACUGGCCACUGGCGGAAACGCGUAAGCAUUCAGGUCUUCCCACGGGAUGGCUUGAGCAUCGAGGUCCCAAG
Haliotis rubra (blacklip abalone) is the source of this 277-nucleotide long non-coding RNA. RefSeq lists it as uncharacterized. The record is from RefSeq and is a predicted model, not a curated record. The transcript has 3 exons. NCBI's taxonomy places the organism in Eukaryota, Metazoa, Mollusca, Gastropoda, Lepetellida, Haliotidae.